Molecule: ribosomal RNA, 425 nt
Filed under: uncultured bacterium
Lineage: Bacteria
Description: partial 16S ribosomal RNA
Rfam family: Bacterial small subunit ribosomal RNA
Source: RNAcentral
GUGGGGAAUCUUAGACAAUGGGGGAAACCCUGAUCUAGCCAUGCCGCGUGAGCGAUGAAGGCCUUAGGGUUGUAAAGCUCUUUCGCCAGGGACGAUAAUGACGGUACCUGGAUAAGAAGCCCCGGCUAACUUCGUGCCAGCAGCCGCGGUAAUACGAAGGGGGCUAGCGUUGUUCGGAAUCACUGGGCGUAAAGCGCACGUAGGCGGAUCUUUAAGUCAGGGGUAAAAUCCCGAGGCUCAACCUCGGAACUGCCUUUGAUACUGGGGAUCUCGAGUCCGGGAGAGGUGAGUGGAACUGCGAGUGUAGAGGUGAAAUUCGUAGAUAUUCGCAGGAACACCAGUGGCGAAGGCGGCUCACUGGCCCGGUACUGACGCUGAGGUGCGAAAGCGUGGGGAGCAAACAGGAUUAGAAACCCGAGUAGUCC